CGGGGUGUAGCUCAGCCUGGUAGAGCACACGGUUUGGGGCCGUGGGGUCCCCGGUUCGAAUCCGGGCACCCCGACCA
Molecule: transfer RNA, 77 nt
Filed under: Pseudomonadota bacterium
Lineage: Bacteria; Pseudomonadati; Pseudomonadota
Also listed under: 4 other names
Description: tRNA-Pro
Rfam family: tRNA
About the family: Transfer RNA (tRNA) molecules are approximately 80 nucleotides in length.
Source: RNAcentral